UGCUUUUUUUUCUCGUUGGUUGGCGGCCGGCGACAGAGGUUUCAGAGAUCAACUUCUGAGCGACCCCAUGCGAGAGUUGUUUACGAGAAAGUGCAAAACUGUUUUAUGAACUUUGAGACGGAAAA
Molecule: non-coding RNA, 125 nt
Organism: Caenorhabditis elegans
Lineage: Eukaryota; Metazoa; Nematoda; Chromadorea; Rhabditida; Rhabditidae
Source: Ensembl